Molecule: ribosomal RNA, 119 nt
Filed under: Aegilops tauschii subsp. strangulata
Lineage: Eukaryota; Viridiplantae; Streptophyta; Magnoliopsida; Poales; Poaceae
Source: RNAcentral
GGAUGCGAUCAUACCAGCACUAAAGCACCGGAUCCCAUCAGAACUCCGAAGUUAAGAGUGCUUGGGCGAGAGUACUACUAGGAUGGGUGACCUACUGGGAAGUCCUCGUGUUGCAUUCC